UUCGCGAACGAUCCACGCGAACGAUACGAUCGAAGAUUCGCAAGAAUGUGCAGUCCGUCUCUCUCGAUCGACGGCGACAGUCCGUCCGAUUUAUCUUAUCCCCGUCACUCAUUCGCCCUCUUUCCUUCUCUCUUCAUCUCACUCCCUCUCCCCCCCUCUCUCUCUCUCUCUCUCUUUCUCUCUCUAGUUUCGUCGAGAUAUACUUCUUAGGUUAUCUCCCUCGACUCUCUUUCGGCGGUUAAACUCGUUUGCUUUCCGCCUCGCCGUGUGCCGCUUCCGUCGUCCGCGUUCCCUCUCUCUCUCUCUCUUUUUCUCUAUCUUUAUCUUUCUCCACCGACGAUCGCGUUCCGAUUCUUACGAUAAAUGGGCCGUUCCGAGCGUUUCCCAGGCGCCCAAGUCGCAUGUACACUUGCUCACCUGCUGCGAGUUUUCUCGCGUCACGAUUCCGCCAGUUGCUGGGGAGUUCUCACGCUUUCGGCGCGCCAACGGCAGCGUGCGAGAACGCAACGUUAUCGCGGAGGUCCUUCGUCGAGAACGCGCGCGCGACGUCUUCGGCCUCGGCCGAGCGUCUCCGAGCGGGAAGAGAGAAUCCGGCGCGCAAAGGACCGCGAUCGGGGCGCGACUCGGAGAAUUCGGCGCGAGUGCGAGCCGAAGGGCAGCCGGAUGCCCGGCGACGCGACGAGCCGAGCGACGCUGAUAAGGCCGUUGACUCGCGUUUGGCCACGAAAUUCCGCGAUACCAUCAGGGCCGUAAAAGAAGACACCGGUCUCCGGACAACUCUCGCGCGCGCGCUUCGAGUCCGCCAUGUCCGUUCGUUCGACUGCUCUCUCGUCCGUCGUACCGCUCUCGAACCCGAAGAUCCUCUCGAGAGAAUAUCGCGAGAAUCUCGCAAUCGAUAGUUUUAGACGCGGCGAUAACUUCACGGGGCACUGUUGAACUCUGCUCACGGCUCCUUGAGAGCGCCGCUUAUUACGAAGAAGAAGAAGAAGAAGAAGAAAAAGCCUAACUUCAAUCGGCGCUCGACGCAACGGUCGCACAUAACCUGCUUUCUAGGAGAGUUUCGAUGUCGUAGCCCGGGAUAAAAUUGCUCGGACAAUGCGGAUGCAACAUGGCUGCGGAGAACGCGGGUCGUCGCCUCGGCGAGUUACGUCUGACGAAGCGCACAUCGCGAGAUCUUCGCUGGCGAGAGAAAAUCCGACUGCGACGAUCUGAAAAUUCGGUAUGCAUUUCAAUCCCAUGUGACGCAUACGGCUAUGAUGCAGCGAUUCAACCGGAAAACCGACACUCGACUGUAAACUAAAGCUUGAGUGUCUCACGUGAGAGAUAAAGUUCCGGCUAUUAAUAUCAGCCUUAGACGCGCUACGAAGUCGUUUCGCGUCACGAGUCCAACGGGUUAACAUUCUGCGCAACUUUCGCGUUCUCGAAGGAAUCGCGCAAGCGAUACGAGCGCGCGGCCGCAAUCAGCGACGAAAGAAUCGCGGAGUUGUGACAGCGAAGCAUGACCGAUCAUCCGGGCUUUGUUUACGUCUCCAAGUUGGAGCCGCAGUCGUCACAGGAGAAACCGGUUCGCCGUCGGAUUCAGUCGGUUCCGAUAUCAGCUGCCGCUGGGGGAGUUCAAGAAGGCGACUCCAGAUUAACUUCUACACGACCGGCCGUUCGCGCGGCCGGUUAAACAAGUGAGAUCAAAGUGAUGCUUCGGUGGGGAUUGGUGCGCGUCGUAUUCAGGAGAGAUUAAGUUUGAUUGGAAAGCUUUUUCUUCGUUCAAUCGUGAGAAAAAAGGAGAAUGCAUCGGCAACGGCGAGGGGAUUAUUCAUGUGUAAUCAUCGAUUUCGAGAAUCACCGUCUAUUUCGUAAUAAAUACUUUUUUCUUUUACGCUCACGCAGCGACGACGGUACAGAAGAAGAUUGUACGCUUGUGCAGUGUGCAGCGUUCUGCUGGACAUGUGGUGCCCGGCAAUGGAACGGGAGUUAGUCAUUUACGCAUGGAACACAUUUAAAAUGUAACGGGAAUCAAGGUUCCCUACGCCCGACGGACGUUGAGCCGUGUGUGGCCGUUGUAAUCUUGUUCGAUGCAAAAUUAUGCAAAUUAGUCAAUCUCCUUUUAUAAGACUUUCGUAAAGGUUCUCAGGAUUCGUUUCAUGUAUGAUCAUUAAGUAUCAAUCAUCAUGCGUAUCAAAAGA
This 2180-nucleotide long non-coding RNA is filed under the name Harpegnathos saltator (Jerdon's jumping ant). RNAcentral's name for it is "uncharacterized LOC105187124, transcript variant X2". Lineage: Eukaryota; Metazoa; Arthropoda; Insecta; Hymenoptera; Formicidae. The record is from RNAcentral.